CCCAUCAACUAUUCACUUGCUACAUUCCUCUCCGCCUGUUCCUCGAAGUUCAUGUUUGCCUAAAAGGAGCCAUCUGCUUUUUAGGGCUCGCAUAUCUCAAAACUUAUUAUUGACGUUAAUCAGCUACUUUUUGACUUCCUGUUAGUUGAUAUUUUCGUAGAAGUUUUAUAUGCAAAGCAUGUGAUAACUAUAUCUUGCAAAACCCGAAUUACCAGUCUCAUUAAAUACUGCUAAAUUAACGGAGUUGCUCACUACAAACGCAGCCAAAAUAUCCUAUUCUUACAUCAUCUUAGCGUGUUGUCCGCGCACAAUUUCGCAAACCAGGUGACCCUCAUGCCCCAGUUUUCACAUCGCC
This 355-nucleotide small RNA is filed under the name Histoplasma capsulatum. RNAcentral's name for it is "hypothetical RNA". Lineage: Eukaryota; Fungi; Ascomycota; Eurotiomycetes; Onygenales; Ajellomycetaceae. RNAcentral also lists the same sequence under 1 other name. The record is from RNAcentral.